GAUCCUGGCUCAGGACGAACGCUGGCGGCGUGCCUAACACAUGCAAGUCGAACGGAAGUUAGAGCUUCGGUUUUAACUUUAGUGGCGAACGGGUGAGUAACGCGUGAGGAACCUGCCUUUCAGUGGGGGGACAACAGUUGGAAACGACUGCUAAUACCGCAUGACACUUUUGGGAGACAUCUCCUAAAAGUCAAAGCUUUAUGUGCUGAAAGAUGGCCUCGCGUCUGAUUAGCUAGUUGGCGAGGUAACGG
This 251-nucleotide ribosomal RNA is filed under the name uncultured bacterium. RNAcentral describes it as "partial 16S ribosomal RNA". It matches the Rfam family "Bacterial small subunit ribosomal RNA", at positions 15 to 263 of the family's 1533-position model. The record is from RNAcentral.